CCUACGGGUGGCAGCAGUGGGGAAUAUUGGGCAAUGGGCGAAAGCCUGACCCAGCAAUGCCGCGUGAAGGAAGAAGGCUUUCGGGUUGUAAACUUCUUUUGACAGGGAGGAGCAGAAGACGGUACGUGUCGAAUAAGCAACGGCUAACUACGUGCCAGCAGCCGCGGUAAUACGGAGGUGGCAAGCGUUGUCCGGAUUUACUGGGUGUACAGGGCGUGUAGCCGGGCUGACAAGUCAGAUGUGAACUCCGGGGGCUCAACCCCCGAACUGCAUUUGAAACUGUUGGGCUUGAGUAUCGGUGAGGCAGGCGGAAUGCAUGGUGUAGCGGUGAAAUGCGUAGAGAUUAGAAGGAACACCAGUGGCGAAGGCGGCCUGCUGAACGACAACUGACGGUGAGGCGCGAAAGCGUGGGGAGCAAACAGGAUUAGAUACCCCGGUAGUC
RNAcentral lists this ribosomal RNA (442 nucleotides) under uncultured bacterium. Its description in RNAcentral is "partial 16S ribosomal RNA". It matches the Rfam family "Bacterial small subunit ribosomal RNA", at positions 338 to 795 of the family's 1533-position model. The record is from RNAcentral.